GUGGGGAAUAUUGGACAAUGGGCGAAAGCCUGAUCCAGCCAUGCCGCGUGUGUGAAGAAGGUCUUCGGAUUGUAAAGCACUUUAAGUUGGGAGGAAGGGCAGUAAGUUAAUACCUUGCUGUUUUGACGUUACCGACAGAAUAAGCACCGGCUAACUUCGUGUCAGUAGCCGCGGUAAUACGAAGGGUGCAAGCGUUAAUCGGAAUUACUGGGCGUAAAGCGCGCGUAGGUGGUUUUGUAAGUUGGAGGUGAAAUCCCCGGGCUCAACCUGGGAACUGCCUCCAAAACUACUGAGCUAGAGUACGGUAGAGGGUAGUGGAAUUUCCUGUGUAGCGGUGAAAUGCGUAGAUAUAGGAAGGAACACCAGUGGCGAAGGCGACUACCUGGACUGAUACUGACACUGAGGUGCGAAAGCGUGGGGAGCAAACAGGAUUAGAUACCCUAGUAGUCC
Molecule: ribosomal RNA, 450 nt
Filed under: uncultured bacterium
Lineage: Bacteria
Description: partial 16S ribosomal RNA
Rfam family: Bacterial small subunit ribosomal RNA
Source: RNAcentral